UAAUUAAUCUAAAAAUCUAUAUAUGGUAAUUUAGUAAUACAGUAAUCAAGUCUUGUGUCUUGUAAUUUAUUAUUUUAUUUUUUUUGGUUACAUAAUUUAUUAUAUUUCUAUUCCAUUAAGUUAGCAUUUUUAGUACAACUUUUUACCUAUCAGUUCUAAGUUAAAUUUAUCUAAUAAAUAAGUUACAGCAUACAUUCAGGAAAAGAAUAAAGUUGUGUCCUACCAAAUUUACAGCCCCUUUCUGAGAUAUAUCAGUGCUAGCAGCCCUCUUUAGGAAAUGAUGGAUAAUUUAUUGCAGCAUUUAAUCUGCAAGAAAUUUCAGCAUGAAAAAAUGGC
Molecule: long non-coding RNA, 336 nt
Filed under: Trifolium pratense (red clover)
Lineage: Eukaryota; Viridiplantae; Streptophyta; Magnoliopsida; Fabales; Fabaceae
Description: long non-coding RNA (TPRA_LNC011478)
Source: RNAcentral